Molecule: ribosomal RNA, 201 nt
Filed under: uncultured bacterium
Lineage: Bacteria
Description: partial 16S ribosomal RNA
Rfam family: Bacterial small subunit ribosomal RNA
Source: RNAcentral
UACGAAGGGGGCUAGCGUUGUUCGGAAUCACUGGGCGUAAAGGGCGCGUAGGCGGCUUUAUAAGUCGGGGGUGAAAGCCUGUGGCUCAACCACAGAAUUGCCUUCGAUACUGUAGAGCUUGAGACCGGAAGAGGUAAGUGGAACUGCGAGUGUAGAGGUGAAAUUCGUAGAUAUUCGCAAGAACACCAGUGGCGGAAGGCG